CUACGGGCCGCAGCAGCAACGAAUAUUCCGCAAUGGGCGAAAGCCUGACGGAGCGACGCCGCGUGAAGGAUGAAGUCCCUCGGGAUGUAAACUUCAAUAGUUUGUCAGGAAGCAAACCGGGUUAAUACCCCGGAGCGUUGACCAGCAUACGAAAGGGGUGGCUAACUCCGUGCCAGCAGCCGCAGUAAGACGGAGACCCCUAGCGUUGUUCGGAAUUACUGGGCUUAAAGAGCGUGUAGGCGGAACGGUAAGUACUUUGUGAAAGCCCCGGGCUCAACCCGGGAAUUGCUUGGUGUACUGCCGUUCUAGAGGCAGGUAGGGGUUACUGGAACCUUAGGUGGAGCGGUGAAAUGCGUAGAUAUCUAAGGGAACGCCUGUGGCGAAAGCGGGUGACUGGACCUGUACUGACGCUGAGACGCGAAAGCGUAGGGAGCGAACGGGAUUAGAUACCCGUGUAGUC
This 460-nucleotide ribosomal RNA is filed under the name uncultured bacterium. RNAcentral describes it as "partial 16S ribosomal RNA". It matches the Rfam family "Bacterial small subunit ribosomal RNA", at positions 339 to 795 of the family's 1533-position model. The record is from RNAcentral.